Molecule: ribosomal RNA, 497 nt
Filed under: uncultured Streptococcus sp.
Lineage: Bacteria; Bacillati; Bacillota; Bacilli; Lactobacillales; Streptococcaceae
Description: bacterial SSU rRNA
Rfam family: Bacterial small subunit ribosomal RNA
Source: RNAcentral
GGGACGAACGCUGGCGGCGUGCCUAAUACAUGCAAGUAGAACGCUGAAGGAGGAGCUUGCUCUUCUGGAUGAGUUGCGAACGGGUGAGUAACGCGUAGGUAACCUGCCUGGUAGCGGGGGAUAACUAUUGGAAACGAUAGCUAAUACCGCAUAAGAGUAGAUGUUGCAUGACAUUUGCUUAAAAGGUGCAAUUGCAUCACUACCAGAUGGACCUGCGUUGUAUUAGCUAGUUGGUGGGGUAACGGCUCACCAAGGCGACGAUACAUAGCCGACCUGAGAGGGUGAUCGGCCACACUGGGACUGAGACACGGCCCAGACUCCUACGGGAGGCAGCAGUAGGGAAUCUUCGGCAAUGGACGGAAGUCUGACCGAGCAACGCCGCGUGAGUGAAGAAGGUUUUCGGAUCGUAAAGCUCUGUUGUAAGAGGAGAACGAGUGUGAGAGUGGAAAGUUCACACUGUGACGGUAUCUUACCAGAAAGGGACGGCUAACUACGUG